This 368-nucleotide ribosomal RNA is filed under the name uncultured organism. RNAcentral's name for it is "bacterial SSU rRNA". It matches the Rfam family "Bacterial small subunit ribosomal RNA", at positions 526 to 896 of the family's 1533-position model. The record is from RNAcentral.
CGGAGGAUCCAAGCGUUAUCCGGAUUCAUUGGGUUUAAAGGGUGCGUAGGCGGAAUGAUAAGUCAGUGGUGAAAUCUCGGAGCUUAACUCCGAAACUGCCAUUGAUACUGUCAAUCUUGAGUACAUUUGAUGAGGGCGGAAUGUGUCAUGUAGCGGUGAAAUGCUUAGAUAUGACACAGAACACCGAUUGCGAAGGCAGCUCUCAAAACUGUAACUGACGCUGAGGCACGAAAGCGUGGGUAUCAAACAGGAUUAGAUACCCUGGUAGUCCACGCUGUAAACUAUGAUUACACGAUGUUUGCGAUAUACUGUAAGCGUCUAAGCGAAAGCGAUAAGUAAUCCACCUGGGGAGUACGCUCGCAAGAGUG